Molecule: transfer RNA, 64 nt
Filed under: Cucujoidea sp. 43 KM-2017
Lineage: Eukaryota; Metazoa; Arthropoda; Insecta; Coleoptera
Description: tRNA-Cys
Source: RNAcentral
GGUUUGAUAGUCAAAAAUGAUUUUAAAUUGCAAAUUUAAAGGUAGGUUCAUAAUCUUUAAGCCU